UUCCGGUUGAUCCUGCCGGAGGCUACCGCUAUUGGAGUUCGAUUAAGCCAUGCGAGUCGAGAGUCUUAGGGACUCGGCGUACCGCUCAGUAACACGUGGGUAACCUGCCCUAUGCUGGGGAAUAACCUCGGGAAACUGAGAAUAAUGCCCCAUAGUCCACUACGCCUGGAACGGUGAGUGGAUCAAAGCUCCGGCGGCAUAGGAUGGGCCUGCGCCGUAUCAGGUUGUAGGGGGUGUAAAGUACCCUCUAGCCAUCAACGCGUACGGGUGUUGGGAGACAUUGCCCGGAGAUGGAUUCUGAGACACGAAUCCAGACCCUACGGGGUGCAGCAGGCGCGAAAACUUGGCAAUGCGAGAAAUCGUGACCAGGGAACUCCAAGUGCUUGGGGUAAGACCCAAGCUUUUCUUGACUCUAAAAAGGUCUUGGAAUAAGGGGUGGGUAAGGACGGUGCCAGCCGCCGCGGUAAUACCGGCGCCUCAAGUGGUAGUCGCUUUUAUUGGGCCUAAAACGUCCGUAGCCGGUCUGGUGCAUUCGUGGGUAAAUCAACCCGCUCAACGGGUUGAAUUCUGCGAGCACGGCCAGACUUGGGACCGGGAGAGGUGUGGGGUACUCUCAGGGUAGGGGUAAAAUCCUGUCAUCCUGAGAGGACCACCUGUUGCGAAGGCGCCACACUAGAACGGAUCCGACGGUCAGGGACGAAGCCUAGGGGCACGAACCGGAUUAGAUACCCGGGUAGUCCUAGGUGUAAACGCUGUGGACUUGAUGUUGGGAGUGCUCCGAGCACCCUCAGUGUCGAAGCGAAGGUGAUAAGUCCACUGCCUGGGGAGUACGGUCGCAAGGCUGAAACUUAAAGGAAUUGGCGGGGGAGCACUGCAACCUGAGGAUUGUGCGGUUUAAUUGGAUUCAACGCCGGG
Molecule: ribosomal RNA, 915 nt
Filed under: uncultured archaeon
Lineage: Archaea
Description: bacterial SSU rRNA
Rfam family: Archaeal small subunit ribosomal RNA
Source: RNAcentral